GACGAACGCUGGCGGCGUGCCUAAUACAUGCAAGUUGAGCGCUGAAGGUUGGUACUUGUUCCAACUGGAUGAGCAGCGAACGGGUGAGUAACGCGUGGGGAAUCUGCCUUUGAGCGGGGGACAACAUUUGGAAACGAAUGCUAAUACCGCAUAAAAACUUUAAACACAAGUUUUAAGUUUGAAAGAUGCAAUUGCAUCACUCAAAGAUGAUCCCGCGUUGGAUUAGCUAGUUGGUGAGGUAAAGGCUCACCAAGGCGAUGAUACAUAGCCGACCUGAGAGGGUGAACGGCCACAUUGGGACUGAGACACGGCCCAAACUCCUACGGGGGGCAGCAGUAGGGAAUCUUCGGCAAUGGACGAAAGUCUGACCGAGGAAAGCCGCGUGAGUGAAGGAGGGUGUCGGAUCGUAAAACUCUGUUGGUAGGGAAGAACGUUAGGGAGAGUGGAAAGCUCAUCAAGUGACGGUAACUACCCAGAAAGGGACGGCUAACUACGUG
RNAcentral lists this ribosomal RNA (497 nucleotides) under uncultured bacterium. Its description in RNAcentral is "partial 16S ribosomal RNA". It matches the Rfam family "Bacterial small subunit ribosomal RNA", at positions 28 to 507 of the family's 1533-position model. The record is from RNAcentral.